This 161-nucleotide unclassified non-coding RNA is filed under the name uncultured Penicillium. RNAcentral describes it as "sequence contains ITS2". Lineage: Eukaryota; Fungi; Ascomycota; Eurotiomycetes; Eurotiales; Aspergillaceae. The record is from RNAcentral.
CUGCCCUCAAGCCCGGCUUGUGUGUUGGGCCCUGUCCCCCUCUCCGGGGGACAGGCCCGAAAGGCAGCGGCGGCACCGAGUCCGGUCCUCGAGCGUAUGGGGCUUUGUCACCCGCUCUGUAGGCCCGGCCGGCGCCAGCCGACAACCCAUCAUCCUUUUCA